RNAcentral lists this ribosomal RNA (482 nucleotides) under uncultured bacterium. Its description in RNAcentral is "partial 16S ribosomal RNA". It matches the Rfam family "Bacterial small subunit ribosomal RNA", at positions 28 to 507 of the family's 1533-position model. The record is from RNAcentral.
GAUGAACGCUGGCGGCGUGCCUAAUACAUGCAAGUCGAACGAUUAGACUCGGUGCUGAGUGGCGUAAGGGUGAGUACUACAUAAGGAACCUGGCAUCUAUAGGCGGCUUACUGAUGGGAACGAACUCUAAGACAGCAUAGGUGUAGAGAUCGCAUGUACUCUAUCUGAAAAGUGCUACGGGAAUGGCAGAUGUUGGACUUAUGGCGCAUUAGCUCGUUGGUAGGGUAACGGCCUACCAAGGCGACGAUGCGUAGCCGACCUGAGAGGGUGAGCGGCCACACUGGAACUGAGACACGGCCCAGACUCCUACGGGAGGCAGCAGUAGGGAAUUUUCGGCAAUGGGGGAAACCCUGACCGAGCAACGCCGCGUGAAGGAAGAAGUAAUUCGUUAUGUAAACUUCUGUCAUAGGGGAAGAACGGUUGUGAUAGUAAAUAUUAUCGAAGUGACGGUACUCAAUAAGAAAGCCACGGCUAACUACGUG